CGAAGUAGGAUAUGGCGCGUUAAGUGGUCAGUGGAUGGGGAGUUGCCCUGAAACGAAGAAUGGUUGUCAAUCAUUCGCGGUGCCGUAUCCGCACCCGUUG
Molecule: non-coding RNA, 100 nt
Filed under: bovine gut metagenome
Description: THF riboswitch
Rfam family: THF (Tetrahydrofolate) riboswitch aptamer
About the family: THF riboswitch presents a pseudoknot that joins P1-P2 and the loop of P3 and two THF binding.
Source: RNAcentral